UACGUAGGGCGCAAGCGUUGUCCGGAAUCAUUGGGCGUAAAGAGCGUGUAGGUGGCUCGGUAAGUCCGCUGUGAAAGUCCAGGGCUCAACCCUGGAACGCCGGUGGAAACUGUCGAGCUCGAGUCCGGAAGAGGCGAGUGGAAUUCCUGGUGUAGCGGUGAAAUGCGCAGAUAUCAGGAGGAACACCAAUGGCGAAGGCAGCUCGCUGGGACGGUACUGACACUGAGACGCGAAAGCGUGGGGAGCAAACAGG
This 253-nucleotide ribosomal RNA is filed under the name uncultured bacterium. Its description in RNAcentral is "partial 16S ribosomal RNA". It matches the Rfam family "Bacterial small subunit ribosomal RNA", at positions 524 to 776 of the family's 1533-position model. The record is from RNAcentral.